AGGUCACGGUUCUAAGGAAGACAUAGAUGUGGCCAUGAAGCUUGGGGCCGGUUAUCCUAUGGGUCCGCUUGAGCUCUUGGACUACGUUGGAUUGGACACUUCCAAGUUUAUUAUUGACGGUUGGCACGAGAAGGACCCCGAGAACCCCUGUUCGCUUCCAGUCCCCUGCUCAACAAGCUGGUCGCAGAGGGCAAAUUGGGCAGGAAAACCGGCGAGGGAUUCUACAAACACAAGUGAAGAAUAAAUCACAUUUUCGCUUUGUCAACGAAAUGAGCCGCUCAUCCCGAAAAGGCUGCUUGAUUGUGGAUUUUAUAAUUGCUUCACGGGUAGAGCGAUCAGAUGCACCACCUGGACGAAAUGUUGGACCUCACGCAAUCGGUCAGGGCAUAAAAGGUUAAAAGGCUAUACUGACCGUUGCAUCUAGUGCCUUGCUGUGAUUUGGUUAAAAACUUCAAUACAAUUCUGAGUUUCUGUGGAAUUAAAUGGUUUGAAAACA
Molecule: long non-coding RNA, 496 nt
Organism: Puntigrus tetrazona (Sumatra barb)
Lineage: Eukaryota; Metazoa; Chordata; Actinopteri; Cypriniformes; Cyprinidae
Exons: 2
Source: RefSeq, a predicted model, not a curated record